CUGCCCAAGAGACUGGGAUAACACCUGGAAACAGAUGCUAAUACCGGAUAAAACACUAGACGCAUGUCUAGAGUUUGAAAGAUGGUUCUGCUAUCACUCUUGGAUGGACCUGCGGUGCAUUAGCUGGUUGGUAAGGUAACGGCUUACCAAGGCAAUGAUGCAUAGCCGAGUUGAGAGACUGAUCGGCCACAUUGGGACUGAGACACGGCCCAAACUCCUACGGGAGGCAGCAGUAGGGAAUCUUCCACAAUGGACGAAAGUCUGAUGGAGCAACGCCGCGUGAGUGAAGAAGGGUUUCGGCUCGUAAAGCUCUGUUGGUAGUGAAGAAAGAUAGAGGUAGUAACUGGCCUUCAUUUGACGGUAAUUACUUAGAAAGUCACGGCUAACUACGUGCCAGCAGCCGCGGUAAUACGUAGGUGGCAAGCGUUGUCCGGAUUUAUUGGGCGUAAAGCGAGUGCAGGCGGUUCAAUAAGUCUGAUGUGAAAGCCUUCGGCUCAACCGGAGAAUUGCAUCAGAAACUGUUGAACUUGAGUGCAGAAGAGGAGAGUGGAACUCCAUGUGUAGCGGUGGGAUGCGUAGAUAUAUGGAAGAACACCAGUGGCGAAGGCGGCUCUCUGGUCUGCAACUGACGCUGAGGCUCGAAAGCAUGGGUAGCGAACAGGAUUAGAUACCCUGGUAGUCCAUGCCGUAAACGAUGA
Molecule: ribosomal RNA, 698 nt
Filed under: uncultured bacterium
Lineage: Bacteria
Description: bacterial SSU rRNA
Rfam family: Bacterial small subunit ribosomal RNA
Source: RNAcentral